This 242-nucleotide unclassified non-coding RNA is filed under the name uncultured Leptosphaeriaceae. RNAcentral's name for it is "sequence contains ITS2". The record is from RNAcentral. Lineage: Eukaryota; Fungi; Ascomycota; Dothideomycetes; Pleosporales; Leptosphaeriaceae.
AACGCACAUUGCGCCCCUUGGUAUUCCAUGGGGCAUGCCUGUUCGAGCGUCAUUUGUACCCUCAAGCUCUGCUUGGUGUUGGGUGUUUGUCUACUACCGUAGACUCGCCUUAAAGUAAUUGGCAGCCAGUGUUUUGGUAUUGAAGCGCAGCACAUUUUGCGCCUCUAGCCUAAAAUACCCGCGUCCAGUAAGUCUUUUCCACUUUUGACCUCGGAUCAGGUAGGGAUACCCGCUGAACUUAA